AUUGAACGCUGGCGGCAGGCCUAACACAUGCAAGUCGAGCGAGCGGCGGACGGGUGAGUAAUGUAUGGGGACUGCCCGAUAGAGUGGGCUAACUCCUGGAAACGGUAGCUAAUACCCCAUACUAUCGAAUAACCCAUAUGGGAUUAGCUAGUAGGUGAGGUAAUGGCUUACCUAGGCGACGAUCCCUAGCUGGUCUGAGAGGAUGAUCAGCCAAACUGGGACUGAGACACGGCCCAGAAUCCUACGGAGGCAGCAGUGGGGAAUAUUGCACAAGGGGCGCAAGCCUGAUGCAGCCAUGCCGCGGGUAUGAAGAAGGCCCUAGGGUUGUAAAGUACUUUCAGUCGGGAGGCGUUACCGACAGAAGAAGCACCGGCUAACUCCGUGCCAGCAGCCGCGGUAAUUC
Molecule: ribosomal RNA, 403 nt
Filed under: uncultured bacterium
Lineage: Bacteria
Description: partial 16S ribosomal RNA
Rfam family: Bacterial small subunit ribosomal RNA
Source: RNAcentral